Molecule: long non-coding RNA, 364 nt
Filed under: Cucumis sativus (cucumber)
Lineage: Eukaryota; Viridiplantae; Streptophyta; Magnoliopsida; Cucurbitales; Cucurbitaceae
Description: long non-coding RNA (CSAT_LNC002181)
Source: RNAcentral
UGAUGCUCAUGGAGCACAAAUCCCGUGGCCCCGGCCACCACCGCCGCUCCAACUUCCUCCUUGAUCUUGUGCUCAUGGCUGUGUUCGCUGUCUUUUUUCGCCUCGUGCUUCUCAUGCUGCAACAGCGAAAGAAACCGCGAGGUUGAUUAUACUUUAACUCUAUUUAAUAAAGAAAUGAGAGGAACAUAUAAGAAGAGGAUUUUAUUAAUUACCAGAGCAUAGGCACCGGCUGCAACGGCACCGAGCUCACCGAGAUGUUCAAGGUGCUUGUGGUGCUUCUUCUCUUCCUUGUAGUCGACGACCUCAGAGCUCUCUCCUCCUUCCUUGUGGUGGUGGAAAAGGUGGUGAUGGUGAUGGCCUUGCU